This 396-nucleotide ribosomal RNA is filed under the name uncultured bacterium. Its description in RNAcentral is "partial 16S ribosomal RNA". It matches the Rfam family "Bacterial small subunit ribosomal RNA", at positions 523 to 918 of the family's 1533-position model. The record is from RNAcentral.
AUACGUAGGUGGCAAGCGUUGUCCGGAUUUACUGGGCGUAAAGGGCGUGUAGGCGGAGAUGCAAGUCAGGAGUGAAAUCUAGGGGCUCAACCCCUAAACUGCUUUUGAAACUGUAUCCCUUGAGUGAUGGAGAGGCAGGCGGAAAUCCCGGGGUAGCGGUGGAAGGCAUAGAGAAAGGAAGGAACACCAGUGGCGAAGGCGGCCUGCUGGACAUUAACUGACGCUGAGGCGCGAAAGUGUGGGGAGCAAACAGGAUAAGAUCCCCUGGUAGUCCACCCCGUAACCGAUAGAGACUAGGUGUGGGGGGUUUGACCCCCUCCGUGCCGGAGUUAACACAAUAAGUAUCCCGCCUGGGGAGUACGAUCGCAAGAUUGAAACUCAAAUGAAUUGACGGGG